GUCUUUCGACCUACCCUCUUUCUCUCACAUCACCGUCUCUCUCUCAAGCCUCCAUUUGUCUCUUGCGAAAAUCAGAGGCAGCUCUCUCUCUCUCUUGCGAAAACCAGAGGCAGCUCUCGCUCUUUGGACAUAGAUCUUGCGCUCUGGAACUCAGAGGCAGUUCAUCUGAACUACAUCAGGUAUGCUCUCUCUAUGUAGAUUUUUUUUAGCGCUUUUUUGCAUUUUUCCUCUCUCUAUCUCGAAUUUUUUCAUAUGAUUUUUUCUUUAGUGUCUUCCUCUUUCUCUAUCUCGAGAUUUUUAAGGCUUUUCAUCCGUUUAUUUUUGUCCCUAUCUUGUUUUUUUUUGUUUUUGGGAUCUUUAUCAGUUUCUCUCUAUAUCUUUUUAUCUCCAUAUUUUUGGGCAUUCUGUCAGUUUCUCUCUAUCUCUCUUUAUUUUGAGAUUUUAGUGCUUUUCAUUAGUUUAUUUUUAUCCCUAUCUCGUUUUUUGUUUUGUUUUUUUGGAUCUUUCUCAGUUUCUCUCUAUCUCUUCCUAUCUCGAUUUUUUUGGGGCAUUUUCUUAAUUUCUCUCCAUCUUUAUCUCGAGUUUUUUAGGGUUUUUCAACAGAUGUCCGGUUUUUCCCUCUCUCUUUCUCUCUGUAUUUCUCUAUAUUCCUCUCAAUGUCUCUAUUUUUUCACUAAAUCCCUAAAAUAUAAAGUUCUAAGGCUCAGAUACCUAAUUUUUGCACAGAUACCUGAUUUUUCGCUGUUUUCAGAUACUAUAUCAGAAUUUUCAUUUCAAAAUCUUGUCCUUGUUUAGAUUUCUUUUUUUAAGUUAUAGAUAUUUUUGAAUUUGUUGUAUUGGUCUUUGAGAUAGAUCAAUUGAAAGGGAGUGGGGAGUUUUUGCAUGAUACUUUGUCUUUCCUGCUAUAUAUUGUUUACUAUGGUUCCUUCAUUUUCCUCUAUCAUUCAUAUUUUGUGUUAUGGGUUAUCAGUUUUCAUGCUAAGAAGAUGAAUGUGUGACUUCCAAAGAAGAUAUCAUAAUGAUGCGCACUAUGUUGCAUGGGUGAAGAAGAUUAUUGAGCAAUUUAUUUACAUUGUGCCAUCUGUGUACUGAUUGUUUUAGCAAUUCUAUUGAACUUGAUUUUGAAUUGGUAAAUGGUUGUUGAAUUCUGGUUUCCUUCUGCUGAUCACCGUUGUGGAGAACUUUAAGAAAUUAUGUUAUUGUCGGUGUGUAUUACAUAAUUAGGUUUUGGUUCUGGUUUUCUCACUCUAUUGUAUCAUAAUUUGUAUCAUUGUUAUGUCACUGUUGUUGAAUUCUGGUUUUCUCACUCUAUUUGGUAAUUAGGUUUUGGUUCUGGUUCUAUUCACAUCUAUUAGCCUUUGUAAUGCUCUCUUUCUAAACCAAAACAUGUAUUUCAGCUCUAACAAGUUCGUUUCCAUUCUUAUCAAAAGCUAUUUUCAACUGUUUCAAGGUCCUUUGAAGCUUUCAAGGCACAGAGUGGAUGGUGGGUUGCACCCCUCUCUCUCUCUCCAUGACUCCACAUUGUUUCAUUGGAUGGUGAACCAUUUGGCCCAUGGUUCUCAAUAGUCACUUAAAGUGCACUAUACAUUUCUCUAACAAAAACUAUGCUUUAGUCAUUUUGGUGGAGGUAUCAUUUCUUUUCUAGUAGUGAUAUUGAAUAUGUGCCUGCUCUAAGCUUAUAUGUUAACUCGUCUGUCUGCUAGUACCUUGACGAGUUCAUAAGUGUUGAUAAACUCCUAAAAUCUUCUAUUUGUAUGUUAUCCAUGCUUUUGGAUUUUUGGCCUCUUUCCAUGCUAGUUAAAUAUAUAUUUUUAUUUUAGAAAAAAUAUCUUAUUAUUCUCUAUUUUUAAUUUUUAUAUCUCAUCAGACCUAAGAAUUGAAAAUAUUAUUUGCAAGCAGAAAGAUUCCAUCUUUUCUAUUUUCCAACCCCCUAAACCCUUUUGGCCAUAUAUUAUUGACCUCAACAACUUCUAAAAUGAUUCUAUCUCUCUCUCUCUUUCUAAAACUCCAUCUCACUCUCACAUCAUCAUCUCUCUCUCAAAACUUCAUCUCUCUCUAAAACCCAAACUCCAUCUCUCUCCCUUCAUCCUCUCUCUCUCAAAACUCCUUCUCUCUCCUUAAAACUCAAACUCCAUCUCGCUCUCUCUAUCUAAAACUCCAUCCCUCUCUUUUUAAAACUCCAUCUCUCUCUCACACAUAAAAAAGUGUGCUCGUGUUCGAGUUCAACCUAAACCCCUUGGCUGGUAUACUCACUCAGAAGUGAAGAGAGAGAGAUGGAGUCUUAGAGAGAGAGAGAGAAUGAUCGAGUUUUAGAGAAGCGAGGAGUUUGAAUAAGGUGUCAUUUUAGCAUUUGUUUGGGUCAAAAAUUUAUAGGCAAAGAGGUCUAGGGGGUUGUAAGAUAGAGACCUUUCGUUUACAAAUAAUAUUUUCAAUUCUUGGGUCCAUGAGAUAUGAAAGUUAAAAAUAGGGGGAUAAUGAGAUAUUUUGCCUUUAUUUUUAUUCUCCUUUUCUUCCAUGGUUUCUAUGUUUCACGGUUCUUUAUCUAUUGCUCUGCUGCAGAUCUUAUUUACCUUGUUUUCUAUCAAGCUCAAGAGAUAUUCACUUACUUCUCUUGUUGGUGUCACUUGUAACUUUUACUUUCCCUUCAUGUCCAUAUAUUUUGUAAUGGUGUUGAUUUAUAAUAUUUAUUUUCAUCAUUUGACUAACUUGCUGGUAAGAAUUGUUUCCUUGGAUUCUUCUAUUUCCUUUGAUCCUUUCUUUUGUAGUUGGGGUGCAGCAUCAAACGGGUUGUGUGGUUGGGUGUUUAAAGAAGUUGCAGAGGCAGCGUUUGUCUUUAGUAUUUAAUUUAUGCCCGUGCUUUGCUGCUGCCAAAGCAUUUGUUGAGCACACUUGUUUUUGUUCCUUCGUAUUUUCUUUUAUAAAUAUGUGUUCAUGCCCCUGGAUAAUGGGUGAUUUUGUGGGGAUGUAACUGAGGGAUAGUGAAUACCCCUUCAAUAAUAAAUGAUCAUAGAUUUUUUAAUUUAUUUUGUAACUAUUGUAAUCUCAUAAAUGCUGUGAUGUUGAAGGCAAUCUCUCUGUGUCAUGUAGGUGUGUUAAAGAGGGAAUGGCGUAAUAUCUCCCUUUGUUUCCUAUUGUUUCUAAUAGGUUCUGAACCUCUAUUUGUGUUUAAUGAAUAAGGAAGAAAAAAAUAGAUGGAGAAAAACAAACUAUGAAGAAAGAGAGCUCCUUCAUUAGCCAAAUUUGAACCCAUGC
This 3252-nucleotide long non-coding RNA is filed under the name Amborella trichopoda. RNAcentral describes it as "long non-coding RNA (ATRI_LNC000597)". Lineage: Eukaryota; Viridiplantae; Streptophyta; Magnoliopsida; Amborellales; Amborellaceae. The record is from RNAcentral.